GCUCUCUCCCCCACACACUCACACGGGGAGCGACGCUUACCCCGCCCGCCCCUUAGCCGCACAGGCCCGGCCCCUUAAAGAGACACGCGCCCGCCGCGCCUCCGCCGCCAGUCGGCGCGCCGGCAGCUGCCGGUAGCCCUCUGAGAGGAGCGGCGGGGGGAACAGCUGUGUGAAGCCCGCCGACCCGGCCCGACUUCGCCUGCGACUUCCCGGAACAAUAAGCCCCGGGCCCUAGCGCUGCUGGCCCAGCUCGGGGCGGAAAGCUGCUGCGCCGCGACCCCCGCCUCAGACUCGCUGUGGCGGCUGGGGCGCUGAGGUGUGACACGGCGCGUCUCAGUGUUGUUUGCGGGCGAACAGCCCGAGCCCGCCCAGACACUACGAGCCUUCCUGCCCCGCCGCCCUCGAAGACCUGCCCUCCCGGAGCGCCGAAGUCCUCAGCGGCGCCGAGGGCCCCUCCCCUGGGCUUGCGGGCUCUGAGGAAGCUCUCCUGCUCUUAGACUGAAAACCUGGCUGCUCUGUGUCUAGACAGUAGAAGUUCUGGAGAUGAACAGUGCUGAUGGUUGCACAACAUUGUGAAGCCUUUGCCCCCUGCUCAAGAAUUCUCCUCUUCUGACCCUCCUUCCUGGGAUCCUAGGUGUGGCCUGGGGCCCAAGCCUCGAUCUGCUGUCACACUGAUUGCCUGACUGCAGCACAGAGGGGUGACCGCCCUGCCUGAAGAGGCAGGAGGGGGCCAGUCCUGCACAGGACAGUUUGCUACCGGCAGCUUUGACCCAUGUCCUUUCACAAGGAAAAGGGAAGACUGAGAACAGAGUCAGUAUGGGCUCCACUAGGACCACCCUAAAGCCCGACUCCAGAAGCUCCAGCAUACUUCAAUCCACCAGGGUCACCGCCCUCUCCAUGUAGCCUGUGCCUCCAGGAUGUCACCCUCAUCCUCUCCAGCCACUACACAAAGCAUCACCUUUCCCCGCUGACAGUAAACUGUCAGCUCUUCAAGACAGCUUUGUGUUUCUGUUGGACCACUGACGUGUCCCAGGUGCUUCAAAAAGUGCCCGGCACAUAACACAAGGAGAAAGUGGCCAUCUACAGGUCAGGAAGGCAGUGUUCACCAGGAACCAUUCCUGCUGGACCUUGAUCUGAGACUUCCAGCCUCCAGGAGGGUGAGAAACAGAUGUCUGCAUAGUGUAAGCCCCUCAGUCCAUAGUGUUUGGUUCUAGCAGCCUGACCCGACUGAGGGCCAGAGAAGACACACGAAAGCAUGCACAAGCCUGGGAGGCAAGGGGAAGAAGCAGAGAAGAGGGAGAGGCCGCCAAACGUACCUAGAGGAGGAGCUGGGGAGAAAGCAGAGGCGAGGUGGCUGGGGCAGGGCAGAGGCCUGUGGCCAGGGCUUUGCUUAUGGGGGGCACAUAGUUAAUAAUCACACACCCACCUUCAGGCCCAACGCAAAAGCUUGGGAACACAGGAUGACAAGAUAGCCCCUGCUCCUCAAUCAGAGAGGCUGAAGGAAAGGGAAGACCUCACAGGAGAGGCCCUCCACCUGAGGCUUCAAGGCGAUGAAGGAUUCUGCCAGCUGGUUCAGGGAUGGUGGGACAUGAUAGGUUGCCCCCGGUAGAGGCCAAAGCUUAGGCAAAGCCUCUGAGGAGGGAGCAGAAUGGCAUGGGAGACAUGAGAGGGCACUGUGCUUGAUUUUG
This is a long non-coding RNA of Capra hircus (goat), 1688 nucleotides long. RefSeq lists it as uncharacterized. The transcript has 7 exons. Lineage: Eukaryota; Metazoa; Chordata; Mammalia; Artiodactyla; Bovidae. The record is from RefSeq and is a predicted model, not a curated record.